Molecule: long non-coding RNA, 546 nt
Organism: Panicum virgatum (switchgrass)
Lineage: Eukaryota; Viridiplantae; Streptophyta; Magnoliopsida; Poales; Poaceae
Exons: 2
Source: RefSeq, a predicted model, not a curated record
AGGCCGUGAUUGCUUCACUUGUACUCUGCGACACCCUGGCAACGGCUUAUCACUGGAUUUUACUGGAUUCUGUAGACACUGAUUACCGGCAAUGAAACGACCCGGCUCAGUUUGCCUUUUGCAGCUGGAGUGAGCUUGGGUAUUCUGAAAGCUGCCGCGCAGCUCCACCCAUAGGCGUAUCUUUUUCUCUUGAGGUAAAAAGUGAGGCACGCUGAAUCACCAACCUGCUGAGCUAUGAGCUGCACUGCAAACCUGCAAAAGAACAUGCCAUAAACAGCAUUGCACUUGCCGAACUUGCCACUCCUGUUGAUUAUUCCUGCCAGGCAGGAGCAAGAGGAGGGCAUAAACUAUGUUCAAGUGGCCAAGGCCCCCUCCACUACUUCACAUAGUGGCCCUGUGUCAAAGUGCUCUGAUGUGUCUGAUCGUAACACUUCUUUUGAGUGAAAAGGAGAUCCUCAAUUAUGAGCUCCUCAUUAGGCAAAGGUCAGCGCUCUUGUUUCCAUAAAUAGUGGAUCAAUCUACAGGUACAUGCCUGUCCUUUGCGUA